UACGAAGGGUGCAACCGUUGCUCGGAAUUAUUGGGCGUAAAGCGCACGUAGGCGGCUCUGUAUGUUGGAUGUGAAAACCCUCGGCUCAACCAAGGAAGUGCAUCCAAAACUGCGGAGCUUGAGUACUUAAGAGGAUCGCGGAAUUCCCGGUGUAGAGGUGAAAUUCGUAGAUAUCGGGAGGAACACCAGUGGCGAAGGCGGCUCACUGGUCCGGUACUGACGCUGAGGUGCGAAAGCGUGGGGAGCAAACAGG
Molecule: ribosomal RNA, 253 nt
Filed under: uncultured bacterium
Lineage: Bacteria
Description: partial 16S ribosomal RNA
Rfam family: Bacterial small subunit ribosomal RNA
Source: RNAcentral